Molecule: long non-coding RNA, 460 nt
Filed under: Rattus norvegicus (Norway rat)
Lineage: Eukaryota; Metazoa; Chordata; Mammalia; Rodentia; Muridae
Description: long non-coding RNA NONRATT019668
Source: RNAcentral
AGAGAUACAGCAAGAAAGAGAAGAUGGGGCUUAAAAUUCAUGGAACUCUGACCGUUGAUGGCAUGGUGGUGUGAUAAGUGUGGGCCCCAUAGGCUUGGAUGUUUAGUUACUAGAGAGUGAAACUCUUUGAUAGGAUUAAGUGUGGCCUUGUUGGAUGAAGUGUGUCACUUAGGCAAUGAAGGGACAGUGAUUAAGAGGGAUGAAGUCAGAACAGCUGUGAUCACCCUCAAGUGACACAAGUGCUCAUUGGGUCCCCAAGCCAACCUUGGGUGGAGUCACCUCCUGUAGAUCAAGCCCGAAGACCUCGGUUCGAUUCCCAGAUCCCGUGAUGAAAGGAGAGUACCAGCCCCUCAAAAUUGUUCUCUGGCUUUCACAUCCAUCCUGCAGUAGGUAUGCCCCCCAUACACUAAUAAUAAAUAUCUUUUAAAAUGUAAAAAAUAAAUUUAAAAAUGUAAAAAAG